RNAcentral lists this ribosomal RNA (253 nucleotides) under uncultured bacterium. RNAcentral describes it as "partial 16S ribosomal RNA". It matches the Rfam family "Bacterial small subunit ribosomal RNA", at positions 524 to 776 of the family's 1533-position model. The record is from RNAcentral.
UACGUAGGGUGCAAGCGUUGUCCGGAAUUAUUGGGCGUAAAGAGCUCGUAGGCGGUCUGUUGCGUCGGCUGUGAAAACCCGGGGCUCAACUCCGGGCCUGCAGCCGAUACGGGCAGACUAGAGUUCGGCAGGGGAGACUGGAAUUCCUGGUGUAGCGGUGAAAUGCGCAGAUAUCGGGAGGAACACCAAUGGCGAAGGCAGCUCGCUGGGACGGUACUGACGCUGAGACGCGAAAGCGUGGGGAGCAAACAGG